GACGAACGCUGGCGGCGUGCUUAACACAUGCAAGUCGAGCGGAAAGGCCCUUCGGGGUACUCGAGCGGCGAACGGGUGAGUAACACGUGAGUAACCUGCCCCAGACUUUGGGAUAACCCUCGGAAACGGGGGCUAAUACCGGAUACGACACAGCUUCGCAUGGGGUCUGUGUGGAAAGUUUUUCGGUUUGGGAUGGGCUCGCGGCCUAUCAGCUUGUUGGUGGGGUGAUGGCCUACCAAGGCGACGACGGGUAGCCGGCCUGAGAGGGCGACCGGCCACACUGGGACUGAGACACGGCCCAGACUCCUACGGGAGGCAGCAGUGGGGAAUAUUGCACAAUGGGCGGAAGCCUGAUGCAGAGACGCCGCGUGAGGGAUGACGGCCUUCGGGUUGUAAACCUCUUUCAGCAGGGACGAAGCGUAAGUGACGGUACCUGAAGAAGAAGCGCCGGCCAACUACGUG
RNAcentral lists this ribosomal RNA (462 nucleotides) under uncultured bacterium. RNAcentral describes it as "partial 16S ribosomal RNA". It matches the Rfam family "Bacterial small subunit ribosomal RNA", at positions 28 to 507 of the family's 1533-position model. The record is from RNAcentral.